UUGGAAUACACUGAGAUUUUGAAGAUGCGAGGGCUCCCAUUCUCUGUGAAAAAACCUCAAAUAAUUGAAUUUUUUAAAGAAUUCAAGCUGAUUGAAGAGAGGAUACACAUUGCAUGCCGCCCAGAUGGGAAAGCAACUGGAGAAGCAUAUGUGGAGUUUGUUUCUGUUGAGGAAGCUAAAAGAGCCAUGAACAAAGAUAAGAUGACAAUUGGGUCAAGGUAUGUUGAGUUGUUUCCUUCAACACCAGAUGAAGCUAGAAGAGCUGAGUCAAGAUCAAGGCAGUGAAGAGUCAGAGGUGGCUGGAGAAUUUUGUGCUGACUGUUGUUCACUUCCAUCUUUACAUGAAUCAGUUGAGAUACUAAAACUACUAGCUUGCAGAAAAAAAAAGUUAUGCAAAACAUAAUCACAACGUCACUUGUCCCCAUAUUAAAACUCAAAUACAACAUUCAAAAAACAGGUAUAUGAAUAUUUUAUGCAUAACACUAGAAAGUGGUAAGCUUUAGCAUCUCAAC
Molecule: unclassified non-coding RNA, 512 nt
Filed under: Hevea brasiliensis (rubber tree)
Lineage: Eukaryota; Viridiplantae; Streptophyta; Magnoliopsida; Malpighiales; Euphorbiaceae
Source: RNAcentral